RNAcentral lists this ribosomal RNA (1460 nucleotides) under Enterobacteriaceae bacterium S29_ASV_15. RNAcentral's name for it is "partial 23S ribosomal RNA". It matches the Rfam family "Bacterial large subunit ribosomal RNA", at positions 868 to 2306 of the family's 2925-position model. The record is from RNAcentral. Lineage: Bacteria; Pseudomonadati; Pseudomonadota; Gammaproteobacteria; Enterobacterales; Enterobacteriaceae.
AUUUAGGUAGCGCCUCGUGAACUCAUCUUCGGGGGUAGAGCACUGUUUCGGCUAGGGGGCCAUCCCGGCUUACCAACCCGAUGCAAACUACGAAUACCGAAGAAUGUUAUCACGGGAGACACACGGCGGGUGCUAACGUCCGUCGUGAAGAGGGAAACAACCCAGACCGCCAGCUAAGGUCCCAAAGUCAUGGUUAAGUGGGAAACGAUGUGGGAAGGCACAGACAGCCAGGAUGUUGGCUUAGAAGCAGCCAUCAUUUAAAGAAAGCGUAAUAGCUCACUGGUCGAGUCGGCCUGCGCGGAAGAUGUAACGGGGCUAAACCAUGCACCGAAGCUGCGGCAGCGACACUUAUGUGUUGUUGGGUAGGGGAGCGUUCUGUAAGCCGUUGAAGGUGUGCUGUGAGGCAUGCUGGAGGUAUCAGAAGUGCGAAUGCUGACAUAAGUAACGAUAAAGCGGGUGAAAAGCCCGCUCGCCGGAAGACCAAGGGUUCCUGUCCAACGUUAAUCGGGGCAGGGUGAGUCGACCCCUAAGGCGAGGCCGAAAGGCGUAGUCGAUGGGAAACAGGUUAAUAUUCCUGUACUUGGUGUUACUGCGAAGGGGGGACGGAGAAGGCUAUGUCAGCCGGGCGACGGUUGUCCCGGUUUAAGCAUGUAGGCGGAGGUUCCAGGUAAAUCCGGUACCUUGUUAACGCUGAGGUGUGAUGACGAGGCACUACGGUGCUGAAGUGAUAAAUGCCCUGCUUCCAGGAAAAGCCUCUAAGCAUCAGGUAACACGAAAUCGUACCCCAAACCGACACAGGUGGUCAGGUAGAGAAUACCAAGGCGCUUGAGAGAACUCGGGUGAAGGAACUAGGCAAAAUGGUGCCGUAACUUCGGGAGAAGGCACGCUGAUGUGUAGGUGAAGCCCCUGCGGGUGGAGCUGAAAUCAGUCGAAGAUACCAGCUGGCUGCAACUGUUUAUUAAAAACACAGCACUGUGCAAACACGAAAGUGGACGUAUACGGUGUGACGCCUGCCCGGUGCCGGAAGGUUAAUUGAUGGGGUUAGCGGCAACGCGAAGCUCUUGAUCGAAGCCCCGGUAAACGGCGGCCGUAACUAUAACGGUCCUAAGGUAGCGAAAUUCCUUGUCGGGUAAGUUCCGACCUGCACGAAUGGCGUAAUGAUGGCCAGGCUGUCUCCACCCGAGACUCAGUGAAAUUGAACUCGCUGUGAAGAUGCAGUGUACCCGCGGCAAGACGGAAAGACCCCGUGAACCUUUACUAUAGCUUGACACUGAACACUGGUCCUUGAUGUGUAGGAUAGGUGGGAGGCUUUGAAGCGUGGACGCCAGUCUGCGUGGAGCCGACCUUGAAAUACCACCCUUUAAUGGCUGGUGUUCUAACGUAGACCCGUAAUCCGGGUUGCGGACAGUGUCUGGUGGGUAGUUUGACUGGGGCGGUCUCCUCCCAAAGAGUAACGGAGG